UACGGAGGGUGCAAGCGUUGUCCGGGUUUAUUGGGUUUAAAGGGUGCGUAGGCGGCCCGUUAAGUCAUUGGUGAAAGCCUCCAGCUCAACUGGAGAACUGCCAUUGAUACUGGCGGGCUUGAGUACAGACGAGGUUGGCGGAAUUGAUUGUGUAGCGGUGAAAUGCAUAGAUACAAUCAAGAACACCGAUUGCGUAGGCAGCUAACUAGGCUGUAACUGACGCUGAUGCGCGAAAGCGUGGGGAGCGAGCCGG
RNAcentral lists this ribosomal RNA (253 nucleotides) under uncultured bacterium. RNAcentral's name for it is "partial 16S ribosomal RNA". It matches the Rfam family "Bacterial small subunit ribosomal RNA", at positions 524 to 776 of the family's 1533-position model. The record is from RNAcentral.